AACUCCUACGGGAGGCAGCAGUGGGGAAUAUUGCACAAUGGGCGCAAGCCUGAUGCAGCGACGCCGCGUGAGGGAUGACGGCCUUCGGGUUGUAAACCUCUUUCAGUAGGGAAGAAGCGAAAGUGACGGUACCUGCAGAAGAAGCGCCGGCUAACUACGUGCCAGCAGCCGCGGUAAUACGUAGGGCGCAAGCGUUAUCCGGAAUUAUUGGGCGUAAAGAGCUCGUAGGCGGUUUGUCGCGUCUGCCGUGAAAGUCCGGGGCUCAACUCCGGAUCUGCGGUGGGUACGGGCAGACUAGAGUGAUGUAGGGGAGACUGGAAUUCCUGGUGUAGCGGUGAAAUGCGCAGAUAUCAGGAGGAACACCGAUGGCGAAGGCAGGUCUCUGGGCAUUAACUGACGCUGAGGAGCGAAAGCAUGGGGAGCGAACAGGAUUAGAUACCCUGGUAGUCCAUGCCGUAAACGUUGGGCACUAGGUGUGGGGGACAUUCCACGUUUUCCGCGCCGUAGCUAACGCAUUAAGUGCCCCGCCUGGGGAGUACGGCCGCAAGGCUAAAACUCAAAGGAAUUGACGGGGGCCCGCACAAGCGGCGGAGCAUGCGGAUUAAUUCGAUGCAACGCGAAGAACCUUACCAAGGCUUGACAUGAACCGGACCGCUGCAGAAAUGUGGUUUCCCCUUUGGGGCUGGUUUACAGGUGGUGCAUGGUUGUCGUCAGCUCGUGUCGUGAGAUGUUGGGUUAAGUCCCGCAACGAGCGCAACCCUCGUUCUAUGUUGCCAGCACGUGAUGGUGGGGACUCAUAGGAGACUGCCGGGGUCAACUCGGAGGAAGGUGGGGACGACGUCAAAUCAUCAUGCCCCUUAUGUCUUGGGCUUCACGCAUGCUACAAUGGCCGGUACAAAG
Molecule: ribosomal RNA, 900 nt
Filed under: uncultured Actinomyces sp.
Lineage: Bacteria; Bacillati; Actinomycetota; Actinomycetes; Actinomycetales; Actinomycetaceae
Description: bacterial SSU rRNA
Rfam family: Bacterial small subunit ribosomal RNA
Source: RNAcentral